AGAGUUUGAUCCUGGCUCAGAAUGAACGUUGGCGGCGUGGAUUAGGCAUGCAAGUCGCACGGGCCGCAAGGCCAGUGGCGCAAGGGUGAGUAAGGCGACGGUAACCAACCCCACGGGUGGGUAUAGCCGCGGGAAACUGCGGGUAAUCCCCAGCGACGUCAUCGGGAGGCAUCUCCUGAUGACCAAAGUUCCGGCGCCGU
Molecule: ribosomal RNA, 200 nt
Filed under: uncultured bacterium
Lineage: Bacteria
Description: partial 16S ribosomal RNA
Rfam family: Bacterial small subunit ribosomal RNA
Source: RNAcentral